This 443-nucleotide ribosomal RNA is filed under the name uncultured bacterium. Its description in RNAcentral is "partial 16S ribosomal RNA". It matches the Rfam family "Bacterial small subunit ribosomal RNA", at positions 338 to 795 of the family's 1533-position model. The record is from RNAcentral.
ACUACGGGUGGCAGCAGUGGGGAAUAUUGGGCAAUGGGCGCAAGCCUGACCCAGCAACGCCGCGUGAAGGAAGAAGGCUUUCGGGUUGUAAACUUCUUUUCUCAGGGACGAAGAAAGUGACGGUACCUGAGGAAUAAGCCACGGCUAACUACGUGCCAGCAGCCGCGGUAAUACGUAGGUGGCAAGCGUUAUCCGGAUUUAUUGGGUGUAAAGGGCGUGUAGGCGGGAGCGCAAGUCAGAUGUGAAAACUCAGGGCUCAACCCUGAGCCUGCAUUUGAAACUGGGUUUCUUGAGUGCUGGAGAGGCAAUCGGAAUUCCGUGUGUAGCGGUGAAAUGCGUAGAUAUACGGAGGAACACCAGUGGCGAAGGCGGAUUGCUGGACAGUAACUGACGCUGAGGCGCGAAAGCGUGGGGAGCAAACAGGAUUAGAUACCCGAGUAGUC